This 404-nucleotide ribosomal RNA is filed under the name uncultured bacterium. RNAcentral describes it as "bacterial SSU rRNA". It matches the Rfam family "Bacterial small subunit ribosomal RNA", at positions 976 to 1380 of the family's 1533-position model. The record is from RNAcentral.
AAGCCUUGACAUCCGGCCGGAAGCAUAUGUAAUGUAUGUGCCCUACGGGGCGGCCGAGACAGGUGGUGCAUGGUUGUCGUCAGCUCGUGUCGUGAGAUGUUGGGUUAAGUCCCGCAACGAGCGCAACCCCUGCCCUUAGUAGCCAGCGGGAGAGCCGGGCACUCUAGGGGGACUGCCAGGGACAACCUGGAGGAAGGCGGGGAUGACGUCAAAUCAUCAUGCCCCUUAUGGCUUGGGCUACACACGUGCUACAAUGGCGCCGACAGAGGGAAGCGAGGCCGCGAGGCGGAGCGAACCCCAAAAAGGGCGCCCCAGUUCGGAUUGCAGCCUGCAACUCGGCUGCAUGAAGCUGGAAUCGCUAGUAAUCGCGGAUCAGAAUGCCGCGGUGAAUACGUUCCCGGGUC